This is a long non-coding RNA of Drosophila teissieri, 348 nucleotides long. RefSeq lists it as uncharacterized. NCBI's taxonomy places the organism in Eukaryota, Metazoa, Arthropoda, Insecta, Diptera, Drosophilidae. The record is from RefSeq and is a predicted model, not a curated record. The transcript is spliced from 3 exons.
UUACUAAAAAUACAAAUUUUUAAUUUAACAUCUCGCUGUUGCUUAAUAUAGCUCCUUAAUUAUAGCUGUGCAUUUUCAAAAUUUAGUGUGAAAAAUAGAGAAAAUAGGGUGGAUAUUCUAUUUUCAGUCCACGAAAUGUUCGCAGUGCUGAAUCGCAGGUGCUUGGGCAGAUACUGAUGACCAUAUGUUAAACUGAUUUAAGACGGAUAACUGGAUAAGGAUAACUGGCUUAUCGAUGAAUUUUAAAGGAGUUAUCACUUUUCUGCAAGUCAAAAUUAUGUAAAGUUUCUGGGACUUUGAAGUUCAUUGGGAUGAAGAUACUUUAAUAAUGAGAAGAUAAGUCUGCAG